GAUCAUGGCUCAGAUUGAACGCUGGCGGCAGGCCUAACACAUGCAAGUCUAACGGUAACAGAAAGCAGCUUGCUGCUUUGCUGACGAGUGGCGGACGGGUGAGUAAUGUCUGGGAAACUGCCUGAUGGAGGGGGAUAACUACUGGAAACGGUAGCUAAUACCGCAUAACGUCGCAAGACCAAAGAGGGGGACCUUCGGGUCCGUCUUGCCAUCGGAUGUGCCCAGAUGGGAUUAGU
This 236-nucleotide ribosomal RNA is filed under the name uncultured bacterium. RNAcentral describes it as "partial 16S ribosomal RNA". It matches the Rfam family "Bacterial small subunit ribosomal RNA", at positions 15 to 245 of the family's 1533-position model. The record is from RNAcentral.